RNAcentral lists this ribosomal RNA (499 nucleotides) under uncultured Glomeromycotina. RNAcentral describes it as "partial small subunit ribosomal RNA". It matches the Rfam family "Eukaryotic small subunit ribosomal RNA", at positions 591 to 1092 of the family's 1831-position model. The record is from RNAcentral. Lineage: Eukaryota; Fungi; Glomeromycota.
CCAAUAGCGUAUAUUAAAGUUGUUGCAGUUAAAAAGCUCGUAGUUGAAUUUCGGGAUCAGUUGGUCGGUCGUGCCUCGGUACGUACUGGUCAAAUUGAUUCCUACCUUCUGACGAACCACGAUGUCAUUAAUUUGGUGUCGCGGGAAAUCAGGACUGUUACUUUGAAAAAAUUAGAGUGUUUAAAGCAGGCUCGCGCUUGAAUACAUUAGCAUGGAAUAAUGAAAUAGGACGUUUGAUUCUAUUUUGUUGGUUUCUAGGAUCGACGUAAUGAUUAAUAGGGAUAGUUGGGGGCAUUAGUAUUCAAUUGUCAGAGGUGAAAUUCUUGGAUUUAUUGAAGACUAACUACUGCGAAAGCAUUUGCCAAGGAUGUUUUCAUUAAUCAAGAACGAAAGUUAGGGGAUCGAAGACGAUCAGAUACCGUCAUAGUCUUAACCAUAAACUAUGCCGACUAGGGAUCGGAUGAUGUUAAUUUUUUAAUGACUCAUUCGGCGCCUUACG